Long non-coding RNA from Pseudophryne corroboree (corroboree frog), 165 nucleotides. RefSeq lists it as uncharacterized. NCBI's taxonomy places the organism in Eukaryota, Metazoa, Chordata, Amphibia, Anura, Myobatrachidae. The transcript has 4 exons. The record is from RefSeq and is a predicted model, not a curated record.
UAAUUAUUGACAGUGAUGAGGAAGGGGAGAAAAAGCCCUCUCCCCAACUUGUUCCUACACUGGAACAGGCCGCCGAGGAGGAUGAUGAAUACGAUGAGGCGGCAUUUAGUGACGACGAGCCAGAAUACCAUUUUGUCCGUCGCCAACCAGUGGAGGAGACACCUG